This 460-nucleotide ribosomal RNA is filed under the name uncultured bacterium. RNAcentral's name for it is "partial 16S ribosomal RNA". It matches the Rfam family "Bacterial small subunit ribosomal RNA", at positions 338 to 795 of the family's 1533-position model. The record is from RNAcentral.
CCUACGGGUGGCAGCAGUGAGGAAUAUUGGUCAAUGGGCGCGAGCCUGAACCAGCCAAGUAGCGUGAAGGAUUACUGCCCUACGGGUUGUAAACUUCUUUUAUAAAGGAAUAAAGUGAGACACGUGUGCCUUUUUGUAUGUACUUUAUGAAUAAGGAUCGGCUAACUCCGUGCCAGCAGCCGCGGUAAUACGGAGGAUCCGAGCGUUAUCCGGAUUUAUUGGGUUUAAAGUGAGCGUAGAUGGUUUGUUAAGUCAGUUGUGAAAGUUUGCGGCUCAACCGUAAAAUUGCAAUUGAUACUGGCAGCCUUGAGUACAGUAGAGGGAGGCGGAAUUCGUGGUGUAGCGGGGAAAUGCGUAGAUAUCACGAAGAACUCCGAUUGCGAAGGCAGCUUACUAAACUGCCACUGACAUUGAUGCUCGAAAGUGUGGGUAUCAAACAGGAUUAGAUACCCCGGUAGUC